UUGUGAUGUCCGUUGCAUAUUUAUUUCUCCGUAAUGCUUUUUGUUCGGAAGCACGUUAAUGGCCAAGAGCUCUGACCGAUGUGGAAGGCGUUGGCAGCAGACACCUCCCAGAGAGGAAGAGGAGGACCUGGUGCCGUGGGUUUUCUGUGCCCUCUGUGAAGAAUGGUUCCACUGCUCCUGUCCUCGACGCACGUUCAACGUUCAAAUAGGAAUAAACCAGGGAUGACAACAGAUAAUCUAUAACGGAUAUCUGCGUCCUGUCAUCCACUCCUUCUUCCACUUUUUCCCACUGCAAUGUAAAGAAAAGACAGAAAAGAAUGAACAGCAUUUGAAUUACUCUAGGUCGGUCUGGGGUGAAGCUUUGAAAAAUAAGGAAUAUUUGAUAACAGAGGUACACAUAUAUCAAGGUAAUUUCAAUAAUCUACAUGAAGGGCAUACUAGGGUUGAGUUCCCCGUACAACGACAGGUUAGCAUUAACGAUACAUCCUACCAUGUUAGUCUAAACUUACUAACAUCUAAAGUACGACGAUCUCCAAAAACUGUUGAACCAACAUAGUGGCCUAUUAUGAAAGUUUGAACCAUAUUAGUAGUUAGAAUGUACGUGUUUAAUGACGUAGUGAAUCAUUUCCCCCAAAUUCCUAGGUCUUCUAGCAUAAGCUAUUAUUUGUUCAUACAGGUUUACGUUGUGAAAUUGCUGUCUGUAUUACAUUAACUUGUAUAUGCCUUUACGUGUUUCUAUUGUGUAUUUUAUAGGCCUUACGUGUUUCUAUUGAACAGUUGUGUAUUGUGGUAUUUCCAUUUGUUGUUAGCUCUAUGGAGCCUGCCCCUUCGAUGUAAUGGGUUCAUAUCCAGCCUCAAUUAAUUCUGCGUAAUUAUAACCCGUUACUGGAAAAAGGCCUUAAUGUUCCAUUGCAGGGAACAACCCUGAUGUCCACUACCGCAAGUGUGAUGUGAAAAAUGUUCUGUACUAUUAUUCGUACUAUUAUUUUGGAAUUGAAGAUUCGGUUGUGGCAGAAUUUACAUCUUCUUUUUACAUCUACAUCCCAAAUUCAAAUGUCUUUGUGUGACCAAACCUUCUCAUCUGCAAGGACAUUUAAAUGUUUUUUAAUUGUUUUGGUUGGUAAUUAUUUAAAUUGAGAGAGAUUGCAGCUUCUUUUAAAUUGUACAGAUAAAUGUUGCUUGUUACAGAUAAUAAUAAAAAAAGGUAAAUGUAUUGUUUCUUCUCUAAAGGUAUUGCUGUUUCUUUGCAGUUAUUGUUGAAGCCUAAAAGUGUAUCAAGAAUUCGCAAUGAAAUGUUAUUCUAACAGCAGAAUACUGGUGACCUGUAAAAUUACCAGCAUGACAUACAGUACAGAUAGCCUACUGUUACUUAAAACACAAUAUUAACGUUCCUAUUGUACAGUUAAAACACUGUUACCGUAAAUAAAAACACAGCACUUGGAAAUUACCGUGUUUGAUUUUCUAUUUAAAACUCUACCACUGUAACCAAAAAAUACAGUAGCCUACAUAGUAAUUACUGGGUUUUAUUUUAAAGUAAGUUCCUUGUCAAUAGCUCCCAGUUUCUUACAGUGCGGGUAAAACUGCACAUACCGCUAAAAAAUACCGCUAGAUAGUUUGGACAAAGACACGGAUAUGCUACUGUGGGUAUACAACUUGCUAGAAUACAUCAUAGAGACAUAGAACGUGUCCCCCCAACACACACACACACACACACACACACGGAACGAGAUUGGGAGAGAUCCUGGGCGGAG
Clupea harengus (Atlantic herring) is the source of this 1751-nucleotide long non-coding RNA. NCBI's taxonomy places the organism in Eukaryota, Metazoa, Chordata, Actinopteri, Clupeiformes, Clupeidae. The record is from Ensembl.